GACGAACGCUGGCGGCGUGCUUAACACAUGCAAGUCGAACGGAAAGGCCCUGCUUUUGUGGGGUGCUCGAGUGGCGAACGGGUGAGUAACACGUGAGUAGCCUGCCCUUGACUUUGGGAUAACUUCAGGAAACUGGGGCUAAUACUGGAUAGGAGCUCCUGCUGCAUGGUGGGGGUUGGAAAGUUUCGGCGGUUGGGGAUGGACUCGCGGCUUAUCAGCUUGUUGGUGGGGUAGUGGCUUACCAAGGCUUUGACGGGUAGCCGGCCUGAGAGGGUGACCGGCCACAUUGGGACUGAGAUACGGCCCAGACUCCUACGGGAGGCAGCAGUGGGGAAUAUUGCACAAUGGGCGGAAGCCUGAUGCAGCAACGCCGCGUGCGGGAUGACGGCCUUCGGGUUGUAAACCGCUUUCGCCUGUGACGAAGCGUGAGUGACGGUAAUGGGUAAAGAAGCACCGGCUAACUACGUG
Molecule: ribosomal RNA, 468 nt
Filed under: uncultured bacterium
Lineage: Bacteria
Description: partial 16S ribosomal RNA
Rfam family: Bacterial small subunit ribosomal RNA
Source: RNAcentral